GGCCGAGGUGUCGCGGCUGAAAUCCCCACCGGUCUAGCCUGAGACCUCCGGCGAGACGCCGGCAGCAGGAGCCGCAGCAGCGUAGAGCCGUCCGGCCGCAGCCUACCACCGGCGAACUCGCUCCUGACGCCGCGGACCUUCUUCAGCCUGCAUAGCUUCCGACAAACCUAGUGAGGACUCGUGUGAUGAGCUCUGUGCUUCCGAGUCCCGAGCGUUGAACUGGAUCUGAAGCUCGGGGUGUCUCCUCAGGUCGGGUUCCCGGAGUUGAGAGCCCCGCCUUGCGGGAUGGGAAGGCUGGCCGUCACCGCCGCGGUGGCCGCAUGGGCUAUCCCGAUCGCCGCCUUGGUUGACUCCAUCGUGCCUGACCCCUACAUGGAUGAGAUAUUCCAUGUUCCCCAGGCGCAACACUAUUGCCGUGGAGAUUUCUUAACGUGGGAUCCCAUGAUCACCACCCCUCCUGGCCUGUACUACAUUUCUCUAGCAUAUCUUGCUUCCCUGUUUCCUGGUGCAUGGGCUAUUAAGGUAGCAGAGGCAUUUGACCCCCUUUGCACCACGGCACUUCUCCGGUCAACUAAUGUUAUAAUGGCAAUGGUCUGUGGUGUUCUUGUCCAUGACCUGCUUCUGUGUAUCAAGCCAGGAAUUGGCAAGAUGAAGGCAACUGCUUAUGCUAUUCUUGUAGCGUUGUAUCCUGUUCACUGGUUCUUUACCUUUCUGUAUUAUACUGAUGUCGCAUCAUUAGCUGCAGUUCUUGCGAUGUACCUGUCCUGCUUGAAGAAACGGUUUUGGGUCAGCGCACUGUUCGGUGCUCUCUCAAUACUUUUCCGGCAGACUAAUGUAAUAUGGAUGAUAUUUUUUGCUGCCAAUGGAGCCAUUGCAUAUGUGCAAGAUCUUUCUCUCAGUGACUGCCCUUCUGAUGAGAACAGUGAACCAACAGAUAAAUCAAGAGCAGAAGUGUCUGACAGGGAUAGCAAAGUCAGUGCUUUAGGUUUGAGAAGGCGGCGAACUAAUCACUCCAUAAGUAAGAGGGGAGUUGUUUCUGGAUCUACUAAAUCACACACGAGUUUUACGGAAGAACUAUUUGACAUCGGCUUCAAAAUAUGGAAUUCAAAGUGUAAAGUUUUAAUCACUUUUGCACCGUUCGCAAUAGUUCUGGUGACAUUUGGAGCAUUUAUAAUCUGGAAUGGUGGCAUAGUACUAGGUGCCAAGGAAGCUCAUGUUGUUUCACCACAUUUUGCACAGUUAUUGUACUUUGGUCUAGUGUCAGCUACUGCCCUCCUACCGUGGCAUUUUACUCCCGGACGAGUAUCAGACUUGUUCCACUGGUGUAGAAAGAACAAAACCUUUAGUUCUCUGGCAAUGCUGAUAGCUCUUGGUUUAAGCUUUGUGGCUAUACAUUUAUUCAGGUUUUUACCUGAACACCUCUAUUGCUCACCCUUAUCUUCUGGCUGACAAUAGACAUUACACGUUCUAUAUCUGGAGGAAGGUCAUACAAGCUCACUGGAUGAUGAAAUACAUUUUGAUUCCACUUUAUGUGUACUCAUGGUUUUCAGUUAUCAACAUCUUAGGGAAAUCGCAGCCAAGAGUUUGGGUGGUGUCCUUUGUUUUCUCAGUUGCUCUAGUUCUCGUCCCUGCUCCGUUGGUUGAAUUUAGAUACUACACAAUCCCAUUGGUCGUACUGGUCCUUAAUUCUCCAGUAAUCGGUAAUGGCAAAUUGCUUGCUUUGGGGUCUGCAUAUGCUGCUGUGGAUUUGUUCACUCUGGCGAUGUUUCUGUUCAGACCAUUCCAUUGGGGCCAUGAGCCGGGAACACAAAGGUUCAUGUGGUAGUUUAGUUGAUGAAAUUGACAAGUGACCAACUCCAGUGUUCAGUCACAGCUGCUCCGGCUUAUCGGUGCCCCGCUUGGAGAAAUUAGAACUACAAUGAUGUGUGAUCUUAAUUUUUUUGGGGGUCAGUUUGUGUGUAUACUAGUGUUCUUAUGAGUUUAAGUCGAAAAUAGGUGCUUGGAUUUGAA
RNA transcript from Triticum aestivum (bread wheat), 2010 nucleotides. It is a transcript of the gene named dol-P-Glc:Glc(2)Man(9)GlcNAc(2)-PP-Dol alpha-1,2-glucosyltransferase, with no coding region annotated. The transcript has 8 exons. NCBI's taxonomy places the organism in Eukaryota, Viridiplantae, Streptophyta, Magnoliopsida, Poales, Poaceae. The record is from RefSeq and is a predicted model, not a curated record.